Molecule: ribosomal RNA, 600 nt
Filed under: Enterococcus casseliflavus
Lineage: Bacteria; Bacillati; Bacillota; Bacilli; Lactobacillales; Enterococcaceae
Description: bacterial SSU rRNA
Rfam family: Bacterial small subunit ribosomal RNA
Source: RNAcentral
GGGGGCGGGUGCUAUACUGCAGUCGAACGCUUUUUCUUUCACCGGAGCUUGCUCCACCGAAAGAAAAAGAGUGGCGAACGGGUGAGUAACACGUGGGUAACCUGCCCAUCAGAAGGGGAUAACACUUGGAAACAGGUGCUAAUACCGUAUAACACUAUUUUCCGCAUGGAAGAAAGUUGAAAGGCGCUUUUGCGUCACUGAUGGAUGGACCCGCGGUGCAUUAGCUAGUUGGUGAGGUAACGGCUCACCAAGGCCACGAUGCAUAGCCGACCUGAGAGGGUGAUCGGCCACACUGGGACUGAGACACGGCCCAGACUCCUACGGGAGGCAGCAGUAGGGAAUCUUCGGCAAUGGACGAAAGUCUGACCGAGCAACGCCGCGUGAGUGAAGAAGGUUUUCGGAUCGUAAAACUCUGUUGUUAGAGAAGAACAAGGAUGAGAGUAGAACGUUCAUCCCUUGACGGUAUCUAACCAGAAAGCCACGGCUAACUACGUGCCAGCAGCCGCGGUAAUACGUAGGUGGCAAGCGUUGUCCGGAUUUAUUGGGCGUAAAGCGAGCGCAGGCGGUUUCUUAAGUCUGAUGUGAAAGCCCCCGGCUCAA